Molecule: non-coding RNA, 136 nt
Organism: Triticum aestivum (bread wheat)
Lineage: Eukaryota; Viridiplantae; Streptophyta; Magnoliopsida; Poales; Poaceae
Source: Rfam
GGAUGCGAUCAUACCAGCACUAAAGCACCGGAUCCCAUUAGAACUCCGAAGUUAAGCGUGCUUAGGCGAGAGUAGUACUAGGAUGGGUGACCUUAUUUUUUUGCGCCCCAUGAGAAAAAGAACGCAUGUGUGUGAU